RNAcentral lists this non-coding RNA (785 nucleotides) under Phloeopora testacea. Lineage: Eukaryota; Metazoa; Arthropoda; Insecta; Coleoptera; Staphylinidae. The record is from RNAcentral.
AAAAAGUUUUAUUUUAGCUUAAAAAAUUAAUGUAUAUUAUUUUUACAUGUAAAUUUUUGUAUAAAUUUAUUUAAAUUUAGAAAAUUUAAAUAUAGAAAAAAAAGAUCGCAGUAUAUAAAUUUAUAUAUUAAAGAGAUUUAGAUAUAGGGAUAUAUAAUAAUAUUAACAUAAUUUGUGCCAGCAGUUGCGGUUAUACAUAUAAUGUAAUUAAUUUUUAUUAGUAGGUAAUUAAAAUGAAAUUAAUAAUAUUAAUAAAAAUUAUAGUUUAUUAAGUGAAAUUUUAAAUUAUAGAAAUGUUAAAUUAAUAAUUUUGAAGUUAUUAAAUUUUAAUAAAAACUAGGAUUAGAUACCCUAUUAUUAAAGUGUAAAUUAUUAUAUUAAAUUAUUAAAAGUUAUAAUCUUUAAAAUUAAAGAAUUUGGCGGUAUUUUAGUCUAUUCAGAGGAAUCUGUCCUAUAAUUGAUAAUCCACGAUUAGGGCUACUUAUAUUAAUAGUUUAUAUAUCAUUGUAGAUGAAUAUUUUAUAAGAAUAUAAAUUUUCUAAAUUUUUUAUAAAUAAAAUAAAUCAAAUCAAGAUGUAGUUUAUAUAUAAGAAGAGAUGGGUUACAAAAAAGAAAUUUUUGGAUUUAUAAUUUGAAAUUGUAAUGAAAAUGGAUUUGAGAGUAAUUUAAUUAAUUUUAAUUAAAUGAUUUUAGCUCUAAAAUAUGCACAUAUCGCCCGUCGCUUUCAUAUAAAAUGAGAUAAGUCGUAACAAAGUAAAUGUACUGGAAAGUGUAUUUAGAUAGCA